This 460-nucleotide ribosomal RNA is filed under the name uncultured bacterium. Its description in RNAcentral is "bacterial SSU rRNA". It matches the Rfam family "Bacterial small subunit ribosomal RNA", at positions 33 to 507 of the family's 1533-position model. The record is from RNAcentral.
ACGACGCUGGCGGCGUGCCUAACACAUGCAAGGUCGAACGGGGUGAUGACUUCGGUUAUCACUUAGUGGCGAACGGGUGAGUAACGCGUGAGCAACCUGCCCUUGCGUGGGGGAUAACGUUGGAAACGAACGCUAAUACCGCAUAACGUACCGAGAUUGCAUGGUUUUGGUACCAAAGAUUUAUUGCGCAAGGAUGGGGCUCGCGUCUGAUUAGGUAGUUGGCGGGGUAACGGCCCACCAAGGCGACGAUCAGUAGCCGGUCUGAGAGGAUGAACGGCCACAUUGGGACUGAGAUACGGCCCAGACUCCUACGGGAGGCAGCAGUCGGGAAUAUUGCACAAUGGAGGAAACUCUGAUGCAGUGACGCCGCGUAUAGGAAGAAGGUUUUCGGAUUGUAAACUAUUGUAGACAGGGAAGAAACAAGACAGUACCUGUAAAGUAAGCCCCGGCUAACUAUGUG